Molecule: long non-coding RNA, 883 nt
Organism: Oryzias melastigma (Indian medaka)
Lineage: Eukaryota; Metazoa; Chordata; Actinopteri; Beloniformes; Adrianichthyidae
Exons: 2
Source: RefSeq, a predicted model, not a curated record
AGUGAUGACUCAAGCAGGGAAAAUCCUCAGGAUGAAUUAGUUAUAAGGCGAUCUACAUGUGGGGCAGACGAGACAUAAAAAUUUAACUUUGCAAAGAGCAAGAGAGAAGAAAGGUUUUUUUAUUUAAAAAAAAAUCCACCCAAAAAUAAUCAGGAGCGGAACUCCGGAUGACACAAUCUGCACACAUUUUUGUAUAGACGGGGACAGUACGGGGAAAGUGUUUGACUAAGCAUCUUUUCAGUAAAUCUCAGUUCAUCUGGAGGAGUCAGAGAUUUGCAUGCAGAUACCAGUCAGCUGUAUUACUCUCACUGUACACGCCCAGUUUUGUAGAGCAGACAGGUCAAAGUGAAGCAUUUUAUAAAAGUAAGACCACAAAUCAUUAUAUUUUUUAAUACUCAAGAUGUGUGACAACACAGGAGAUAAAAAAUCCUCACACUCUAAAGGUAAUUGCAGCUCCUCACAACAUGCUCUGAAUUACCUCUGAGCACACGGACCUGUCUCCUCUUUACCAUGGAAACCAACACCAUACUACAUCCACGCACACUGAGAGAGCAUUUGCCACGGCAUCCAGUUCUGAGGCUACAAGAAGCUUUUAGCGAUCCAACAGAUUUUCCCAGCAGUUAAAUCCCUCAGUCAGAAACCGGCAGAUUUACCUUCUAUCAGCAGAGGACAAGGUCAUGCAUUGCUCAGUCCUGGCAUCUCUCUUGCAGCUGGUGACAGAGGAAAAGAACCUCUUUGGAAUCCCGAGAGAUGCCCGAGGAUGCAGCUGAGCCGGCAUUGCACGCACGCAUCCGCCGCCACUACCACCGCCGGAGAGAGCAGCAGCAGCAGAAGCCAAUCGGAAGGGGAGGGGAGACUGAAGAAAAAAUAAAAAAUAAAAAAA